RNAcentral lists this ribosomal RNA (253 nucleotides) under uncultured bacterium. Its description in RNAcentral is "partial 16S ribosomal RNA". It matches the Rfam family "Bacterial small subunit ribosomal RNA", at positions 524 to 776 of the family's 1533-position model. The record is from RNAcentral.
UACGUAGGGUGCAAGCGUUAAUCGGAGUUACUGGGCGUAAAGCGUGCGCAGGCGGUUUUGUAAGUUUGUCGUGAAAGCCCCGGGCUCAACCUGGGAAUUGCGAUGAAGACUGCAAGGCUUGAAUCUGGCAGAGGGGGGUAGAAUUCCACGUGUAGCAGUGAAAUGCGUAGAGAUGUGGAGGAACACCGAUGGCGAAGGCAGCCCCCUGGGUCAAGAUUGACGCUCAUGCACGAAAGCGUGGGGAGCAAACAGG